This 525-nucleotide ribosomal RNA is filed under the name uncultured beta proteobacterium. RNAcentral's name for it is "bacterial SSU rRNA". It matches the Rfam family "Bacterial small subunit ribosomal RNA", at positions 8 to 526 of the family's 1533-position model. The record is from RNAcentral. Lineage: Bacteria; Pseudomonadati; Pseudomonadota; Betaproteobacteria.
AGAGUUUGAUCCUGGCUCAGAUUGAACGCUGGCGGAAUGCUUUACACAUGCAAGUCGAGCGGCAGCGCGGGGGCAACCCUGGCGGCGAGCGGCGAACGGGUGAGUAAUACAUCGGAACGUGUCCUUAAGUGGGGGAUAGCUCGGCGAAAGCCGGAUUAAUACCGCAUAAGCUCUGAGGAGGAAAGCGGGGGAUUCGCAAGGACCUCGCGCUGUUGGAGCGGCCGAUGUCGGAUUAGCUAGUUGGUGGGGUAAAGGCCCACCAAGGCGACGAUCCGUAGCUGGUCUGAGAGGAUGAUCAGCCACACUGGAACUGAGACACGGUCCAGACUCCUACGGGAGGCAGCAGUGGGGAAUUUUGGACAAUGGGGGCAACCCUGAUCCAGCCAUUCCGCGUGAGUGAAGAAGGCCUUCGGGUUGUAAAGCUCUUUCGGACGGAACGAAAUGGUUACGGCUAAUACCUGUGACUGAUGACGGUACCGUAAGAAGAAGCACCGGCUAACUACGUGCCAGCAGCCGCGGUAAUAC